This 440-nucleotide ribosomal RNA is filed under the name uncultured bacterium. RNAcentral's name for it is "partial 16S ribosomal RNA". It matches the Rfam family "Bacterial small subunit ribosomal RNA", at positions 338 to 795 of the family's 1533-position model. The record is from RNAcentral.
CCUACGGGAGGCAGCAGUGGGGAAUAUUGCACAAUGGGGGAAACCCUGAUGCAGCGACGCCGCGUGAGCGAUGAAGUCUCUCGGUAUGUAAAGCCCUAUCAGCAGGGAAGAAAAUGACGGUACCUGACUAAGAACCCCCGGCUCACUACGUGCCAGCAGCCGCGGUAAUACGUAGGUGGCAAGCGUUGUCCGGAUUUACUGGGUGUAAAGGGCGUGUAGCCGGGCUGACAAGUCAGAUGUGAAAACCGGGGGCUCAACCCCCGAACUGCAUUUGAAACUGUUGGUCUUGAGUGGCGGAGAGGCAGGCGGAAUGCCUGGUGUAGCGGUGAAAUGCGUAGAUAUUAGGAGGAACACCAGUGGCGAAGGCAGCGUACUGGCGGACAACUGACGGUGAGGCGCGAAAGCGUGGGGAGUAAACAGGAUUAGAUACCCGAGUAGUC